Molecule: long non-coding RNA, 1248 nt
Filed under: Canis lupus familiaris (dog)
Lineage: Eukaryota; Metazoa; Chordata; Mammalia; Carnivora; Canidae
Description: lncRNA (ENSCAFG00030003362.1)
Source: RNAcentral
AUGGUAGGUGGGGGGUCACUUUGGGGUUGGGUUCAAAUUUUUCUUCCCCCCCCCAAAAAAAAUAGAAUUGUCUUAGGGGAAAGGCUGGAAAGGCACAGAAGGCAGGGGUCGCGGUCCCUGGUCACCGUCAGGACCGUGCCCCCCCCCCCGCCCGCUUUCAUUCCCCAGGCUGCGCCGUGUGUGCGCCACGUGCCUCCCGGCCCGGCGCGCGACGCCCGAGGAUGCCCGAGGAUCGCGCCGCGAGCGGCCGUGGCUCCCACCUCUUUGCGCGUCUCACGCAGCCCGGGGGUGCAGGGGCAGCCGGCCGCGUCCGACGCCGGGCAGAGGGCCGCGGGCUCCGGGCGGGCUCCGGGCGGGGGGUCACCCGCGGGCCGGGCCGGGCCGGGCCGGGCGCCAGCAGCGCGCGCAGGAGCCUCGGGCCGGGCGCACCGCGGCGGCCACCUCUCGGCCCCGGCCGGCUUACGCAACCACCUCGCCUCCGUCAUCCGCGCCCUAAUUGUGCAGGGGGCGGUGUCUGUGUGCGGCGCGUUCUCUGCCCGCCGCGGGCCGCCGCGCUCCCCGGGGAGACGCGCGAGGGCCUGGUCACCGCCGCCCACGCAGCCCCACGGGGCUCGGCCGCAGCCGCUCCCCCCCCCCCCCCCCCGCGGGCGGCUCGCCAGCGCCCCCCUCGCGCCUGCCCGCGCCCGCCCCGAGGAGGAGGGGCCCCCGCCGGGGUCCGCGCCACGCCCGGGUCCUCGGUGGGCAACAGGUAGCCGCGCCGCUGCGUGCUCGGGGACACACAAAGCGCCUCCGGGAGUGCGCGCGGCGGCCGCGGGGGGGGCGGCGCUGGGAGAGCCGGCCGGGGGCUCGGGCCCCUCCGCCGCCCCCCGCCCGCCCGCGGGCCCGGCCGCUGCGCACCCCCGGAGCCGGGCGCGGGGCGCGGGGCGCGGGGCGCGGGGCGCGGGGCGCGGGGCGGCGGCCGCGGAGGGAGGCGGGCGGGCUGGCGGGCGGGCGGCGGCGCGGCGCGGAGGGGGGGCGGAGCGGGCGUGGGGAGGGGCGGGGAGGGGCGGGGAGGGGAGGGGAGCGGAGGGGAGCGGAGGGGGCGGGGAGGGGAGCGCAGGGGGCGGAGGAGGGGCGGGCCGGGGGCGGGGCCGCGGAGAGCCCGCCCCCGCCGGCCGCGGCCAUUGGCGGCGGGCCGGGGGCGGGUGCGGGCGCGGCGAUUGGGGCCCGGGCCGCCCGUCACGGCGAGGCUGGCGGGCGGCGACGUAG